UACGAAGGGGGCUAGCGUUGUUCGGAAUUACUGGGCGUAAAGCGCGCGCAGGCGGCUUGGUAAGUUGGGGGUGAAAUCCCUGGGCUCAACCCAGGAAUGGCCUUCAAGACUGCUUGGCUGGAGGACGAGAGAGGUGAGUGGAAUUCCCAGUGUAGAGGUGAAAUUCGUAGAUAUUGGGAAGAACACCGGUGGCGAAGGCGGCUCACUGGCUCGUUUCUGACGCUGAGGCGCGAAAGCUAGGGGAGCAAACGGG
Molecule: ribosomal RNA, 253 nt
Filed under: uncultured bacterium
Lineage: Bacteria
Description: partial 16S ribosomal RNA
Rfam family: Bacterial small subunit ribosomal RNA
Source: RNAcentral